AAAAAAAUAUAUUGCGAUAACUUCAUUAUAUAACAAAGACAUAGCUCCCCAUCACGAGACUGGAAAAACGAGGAGCUUGGACUUAGAGAGCCGCAUCCAAAAAGACCACCACAUUUUCUAUUAAUGUGCCAUGGAAUCAUUAACGUACAAGAACAAACGAUCAAACAACUCAUAUUGUUUGAGGAGAAUAAAAGAUAUUCAAUUUUUUAUAUUUGUUGAACGAGGUAAAGACGACGUCUCCGUAUUUCUACAAGGAGAGACGAAAUCAUACUUUGAUGAUGACAACGAAUAAAGAUACGAACUCUCCUAUUGUAGUUGAUCUGAUGAGAUCGCGACGAAGCAAACGUAUUGUUCGAAACUGAUGAAACCACCACCCCGAC
Molecule: long non-coding RNA, 380 nt
Filed under: Brassica napus (rape)
Lineage: Eukaryota; Viridiplantae; Streptophyta; Magnoliopsida; Brassicales; Brassicaceae
Description: long non-coding RNA (BNAP_LNC006734)
Source: RNAcentral